UAGAUACCCCGCUAUACUCGCCAUAUUUGGUAGUAGACCACAUCAAAACCCAUGGAAAUUGGCAGUUACAACCCUAUAGAGGAGCUUGUUUCAUAACCGACAAUACACGAUAAUUUUCACUUGCUCACAAAGCUUAUAUACCGCCGUUACAACAGAAUCAUUGUAAAUAAACCUCACUAAAGAAACCCCAAUAACUAAAAAAUCAGGUCAAGGUGUAGCACUUAACUAAGAAGAAAUUAGCUACUUAUAAAACUAAUUUAAGAAAUAGCAAAUUUAAAAAUAACUACGAAAGAGAAUCUAUACUCAAUACAAAAUUAAAAUAUCUACACGAAAAACCACCCUUGUAAUGCACACA
Molecule: ribosomal RNA, 355 nt
Filed under: Psilochorus simoni
Lineage: Eukaryota; Metazoa; Arthropoda; Arachnida; Araneae; Pholcidae
Description: partial 12S ribosomal RNA
Source: RNAcentral